Long non-coding RNA from Nycticebus coucang (slow loris), 587 nucleotides. RefSeq lists it as uncharacterized. The record is from RefSeq and is a predicted model, not a curated record. The transcript has 6 exons. Lineage: Eukaryota; Metazoa; Chordata; Mammalia; Primates; Lorisidae.
UCCGUCUCCUUGAGAUCCUAGUGGUUUCAGUAGCCGUCUUUGUUUCCCUGUGACAUGCAGAUACUGGGAGAUCUGUGGAGAGGACACCGGGACAUCUCUGAAGCUGUGAAAUGUUUUUGACCGGGGCUGGGUUUCAACCCUCCACCUCCUGCAUACAGGGCUGGCACCAUACUCCUUUGAGCCACAGGCCUCCCAGAAUGAGCAGUAGGGAACUUCAGUAUUUAAACAUGAGAAGGCAUACAGAAGAACUAGGGCAAUGGAUACUGAGGAACUGUUGACAUUCAGAGAUGUGUCUAUAGAAUUCUCCAUGGAUGAGUGGGACUGCCUGGACCCUGCUCAGCAGAAUUUGUAUCGGGAUGUCAUGUUAGAGACCUACAGUCACCUGGUCUUCCUAGGGCUUGCCAUCUCUAAGCCUGAGCUCAUCACCUGUCUGGAGCAAAGGAAAGAACCCUGGAAGGUGAAGACUCACCAGACAGUGCUCAAGCACCCAGAGCCUCAAGCUGUCACCCUGGGUAGCGUGCUAUGGCAUCACAACUCACAGCAACCUCCAACUCCUGGGCUGAAAUGAUUCUCCUGACUCCGCCUCU